AAGUCGUAACAAGGUUUCCGUAGGUGAACCUGCGGAAGGAUCAUUACAUAACAAACGUAUGGGGAGACAACUCCCUAAUACACCAAACCCUUGUGAACCGUUAUUGUCACCUUUGGCGUGACGAUGCCACCUAGGCAUCACACGUCAAACGGUACCCAACCAUACACCAUUUAAACACUAAUAAAGACUGAAUUCAAAAAUUAAUUGAAAUACAACUUUUAACAAUGGAUCUCUUGGCUCUU
This 242-nucleotide unclassified non-coding RNA is filed under the name fungal sp. RNAcentral's name for it is "partial internal transcribed spacer region". The stretch from base 1 to 46 matches the Rfam family "Eukaryotic small subunit ribosomal RNA", at positions 1786 to 1831 of the family's 1831-position model. The record is from RNAcentral. Lineage: Eukaryota; Fungi.